UUUGCUAUUUUUGAAGAUAGGGAAUACAAGGCCUCUCUGACUCUUUUUAAUCCUUCUCCACUGAAAUUACACUCUGUUUACAGGAUGUGAGUGACCAGAACAGCAUGGACUGUCCCCAGCUCUACGAACCGGGACAGCUGAAUCUGCUUUUUAACAAGCGUAAAUUUUUCAUUUGCAUGUUGCAUGGAAUCUACACCUCAUUAGUCCUUUUCUUCAUCCCCUAUGGGGCCUUUUACAAUGUGGCUGGAGAAGAUGGGCAACAUAUUGCUGACUACCAGUCCUUUGCAGUUACCAUGGCCACAUCUUUGGUCAUUGUGGUCAGUGUGCAGAUAGCCUUGGAUACCAGUUACUGGACUUUCAUUAAUCACGUCUUCAUCUGGGGGAGCAUUGCCAUUUAUUUCUCCAUUUUAUUUAUAAUGCACAGUAAUGGCAUCUUUGGCAUCUUCCCAAACCAGUUUCCAUUUGUUGGUAAUGCGCGACAUUCCCUGACCGAGAAGUGCAUCUGGCUUGUAAUUCUCUUAACAACAGUGGCUUCGGUUAUGCCAGUGGUGGCAUUCAGAUUUUUGAAGGUGGAUUUAUACCCAACCCUGAGUGAUCAGAUCCGCCGGUGGCAGAAGG
This 618-nucleotide small RNA is filed under the name Pongo abelii (Sumatran orangutan). RNAcentral describes it as "retained intron". The record is from RNAcentral. Lineage: Eukaryota; Metazoa; Chordata; Mammalia; Primates; Hominidae.